This 1326-nucleotide ribosomal RNA is filed under the name Salmonella enterica. Its description in RNAcentral is "partial 23S ribosomal RNA". It matches the Rfam family "Bacterial large subunit ribosomal RNA", at positions 711 to 1933 of the family's 2925-position model. Lineage: Bacteria; Pseudomonadati; Pseudomonadota; Gammaproteobacteria; Enterobacterales; Enterobacteriaceae. The record is from RNAcentral.
AGACCCGAAACCCGGUGAUCUAGCCAUGGGCAGGUUGAAGGUUGGGUAACACUAACUGGAGGACCGAACCGACUAAUGUUGAAAAAUUAGCGGAUGACCUGUGGCUGGGGGUGAAAGGCCAAUCAAACCGGGAGAUAGCUGGUUCUCCCCGAAAGCUAUUUAGGUAGCGCCUCGUGAAUUCAUCUCCGGGGGUAGAGCACUGUUUCGGCUAGGGGGCCAUCCCGGCUUACCAACCCGAUGCAAACUGCGAAUACCGGAGAAUGUUAUCACGGGAGACACACGGCGGGUGCUAACGUCCGUCGUGAAGAGGGAAACAACCCAGACCGCCAGCUAAGGUCCCAAAGUCAUGGUUAAGUGGGAAACGAUGUGGGAAGGCCCAGACAGCCAGGAUGUUGGCUUAGAAGCAGCCAUCAUUUAAAGAAAGCGUAAUAGCUCACUGGUCGAGUCGGCCUGCGCGGAAGAUGUAACGGGGCUAAACCAUGCACCGAAGCUGCGGCAGCGAACGUAUCACCCAAGACAACUUUACGGAGUUGACGAUUGACGGAGCGAAGCGACGUCAAAGCGUUCAUUAAAGUCGAGUUGGCUUAGGGAUACGUUCGUUGGGUAGGGGAGCGUUCUGUAAGCCUGUGAAGGUGUGUCGUGAGGCAUGCUGGAGGUAUCAGAAGUGCGAAUGCUGACAUAAGUAACGAUAAAGCGGGUGAAAAGCCCGCUCGCCGGAAGACCAAGGGUUCCUGUCCAACGUUAAUCGGGGCAGGGUGAGUCGACCCCUAAGGCGAGGCCGAAAGGCGUAGUCGAUGGGAAACGGGUUAAUAUUCCCGUACUUGGUGUUACUGCGAAGGGGGGACGGAGAAGGCUAUGUUGGCCGGGCGACGGUUGUCCCGGUUUAAGCGUGUAGGUGUGUGUUCCAGGUAAAUCCGGUUCACUUUAACACUGAGGCGUGACGACGAGGCACUACGGUGCUGAAGCAACAAAUGCCCUGCUUCCAGGAAAAGCCUCUAAGCAUCAGGUAACAUCAAAUCGUACCCCAAACCGACACAGGUGGUCAGGUAGAGAAUACCAAGGCGCUUGAGAGAACUCGGGUGAAGGAACUAGGCAAAAUGGUGCCGUAACUUCGGGAGAAGGCACGCUGACACGUAGGUGAAGUGAUUUACUCAUGGAGCUGAAGUCAGUCGAAGAUACCAGCUGGCUGCAACUGUUUAUUAAAAACACAGCACUGUGCAAACACGAAAGUGGACGUAUACGGUGUGACGCCUGCCCGGUGCCGGAAGGUUAAUUGAUGGGGUCAGCGCAAGCGAAGCUCCUGAUCGAAGCCCCGGUAAACGGCGG